UACGUAGGGCGCGAGCGUUGUCCGGAUUUAUUGGGCGUAAAGAGCUCGUAGGCGGCUUGUCGCGUCGUCCGUGAAAACUCGGGGCUCAACUCCGGGCUUGCGGGCGAUACGGGCAGGCUAGAGUUCGGUAGGGGAGACUGGAAUUCCUGGUGUAGCGGUGAAAUGCGCAGAUAUCAGGAGGAACACCGGUGGCGAAGGCGGGUCUCUGGGCCGAUACUGACGCUGAGGAGCGAAAGCCAGGGGAGCAAACGGG
Molecule: ribosomal RNA, 253 nt
Filed under: uncultured bacterium
Lineage: Bacteria
Description: partial 16S ribosomal RNA
Rfam family: Bacterial small subunit ribosomal RNA
Source: RNAcentral